CGAUUUAGCCUGCUAGUUGCGCGAGUUCAGACUCGCAGCAGAUAGCUCAGUAACACGUGGUCAAUUUACCCUGCAGACACGGACAACCUCGGGAAACUGAGGCUCCAUCCGCGAUACCGAUCCCACGCUGGAAUGCCGGGAUCCACAAACGCUCCGGCGCUGCAGGAUGCGGCUGCGGCCGAUUAGGUAGACGGUGGGGUAACGGCCCACCGUGCCGAUAAUCGGUACGGGUUGUGAGAGCAAGAGCCCGGAGACGGAAUCUGAGACAAGAUUCCGGGCCCUACGGGGCGCAGCAGGCGCGAAACCUUUACACUGCACGCAAGUGCGAUAAGGGGACUCCGAGUGCGAGGGCAUAUAGUCCUCGCUUUUGAGAACCGUAAGGUGGUUCUCGAAUAAGAGCUGGGCAAGACCGGUGCCAGCCGCCGCGGUAAUACCGGCAGCUCAAGUGAUGGCCAAUCUUAUUGGGCCUAAAGCGUCCGUAGCUGGCCGUGAAAGUUCGUCGGGAAAUCCAUCCGCUCAACGGAUGGGCGUCCGGCGAAAACUUCACGGCUUGGGACCGGAAGGCUCGAGGGGUACGUCCGGGGUAGGAGUGAAAUCCUGUAAUCCUGGACGGACCGCCGAUGGCGAAAGCACCUCGAGAAGACGGAUCCGACAGUGAGGGACGAAAGCUAGGGUCUCGAACCGGAUUAGAUACCCGGGUAGUCCUAGCCGUAAACGAUGUUCACUAGGUGUGGCACAGGCUACGAGCCUGUGCUGUGCCGUAGGGAAGCCGAGAAGUGAACCGCCUGGGGAAGUACGUCCGCAAGGAUGAAACUUAAAGGAAUUGGCGGGGGGAGCACUACAACCG
This 847-nucleotide ribosomal RNA is filed under the name Halogeometricum sp. enrichment culture clone SVC_H05. RNAcentral's name for it is "bacterial SSU rRNA". It matches the Rfam family "Archaeal small subunit ribosomal RNA", at positions 41 to 887 of the family's 1478-position model. Lineage: Archaea; Methanobacteriati; Methanobacteriota; Halobacteria; Halobacteriales; Haloferacaceae. The record is from RNAcentral.